RNAcentral lists this long non-coding RNA (1184 nucleotides) under Sus scrofa (pig). RNAcentral describes it as "lncRNA (ENSSSCG00070002543.1)". Lineage: Eukaryota; Metazoa; Chordata; Mammalia; Artiodactyla; Suidae. The record is from RNAcentral.
UACUUUGUUUUUGGCAUGUUAUCAGAUUUGGCUUUCCAACAUUGGUAUUGACCUUGAAUUACUGCAAGUAACCAGGUAGAGUUGAUGUGUCUCAUAAUGGUGACGUGACCAAGAUGUGUAGUAGAAAGGACACAUUUCCUAUCUUUUACAGGUUCGUGUCCACACAUCACUCUGAACUGAGCAUUAAUGUUAACAGGGGACACGGUCGGGGUCCAGGUUUAUGAUGAUUGUGACCCUGUCACUUGUUACCAUGGCUUCUCUGCAGGUAUUCAGGUAAUGGUUGGUUCCUUACCAAUUCUUAAUACCAUGAACUUUCAGUUUUCAUGCUUUAGAGAGUAUCUUUAACUCUGUGACUCAUGAGCAAUUACACAUAGCAGGUAUUGAUUAUGAUUGCUCAAGCACAGUAGUGAUCAUGGAAUUUCUGCAGGUAUCUUGUAAAGAAGUGUUAUUUCCUGACAAGGGUCAUGCCCUAGGAGAACUGCAAAUAUUCAAGUAGAGUUGAUCAUAAUGCUGUCAAUGACGGAGCUUGUUUGCAAGUGUCCUAGUAGAGUAAGCUAUGUCCUUUUAUACGUGUAUCAUAAUGUGCUUUUCAGGUUCUGCAAGAGAUGAAUAUUCAUUCUGAUGGUCAUUCUCUGGGGACAUUUCUUUGUCUGGGUAGGUAAUGAUGUGCACCUUUCCCAGCAGACAUUGCAUCUUCUCAUAUCUAGGUCUCUGUUCGGAUUGACUAAAUUUACUUAUCAUGUGGAUUUUUUCAGGUAAUCAGAUAAGAAAUGAUAGUAUUUUUACCAAUGGUAGCAAUCCUGAUAUGCUGCUGUUUGCAAUUUAGAAAAAAAUGUAUGCUUACUCAUGGGAGUGUUCAGUGGCUCUUGAAUAUCCACAUCAUGAUGGUGGAAUUGUGUGGCACAGCAGUAACCAUGGUGCUUUUGCCAGGGGGCUGGGAGGAGACGCUGGCGUGUCGAACUUUGGCACAAAGCUUGGAGUCCUGCAUGAAGCCAGAGAGAACCGAUGGGUCCUACAGUGAUGGCUACACACAGGGUUAUUUGAAGAGUCCUAGUAGAAAUUGUGCCUCCAUACACAUAACUGUCACAAGGGGCUCUUUGCAUUCUAGUCAAGAAAUCACAGUGAAUCUGAAAAUGAUCCUGAAUAGGCCUUUGAUGUCUCCAGAUAUUCAUUUCAGAAAUUAA